AUCCAGCUGACGAGUUGCAAAUAGAACGAAACGCACGUCCUGGAU
This is a non-coding RNA of Schistosoma mansoni, 45 nucleotides long. Lineage: Eukaryota; Metazoa; Platyhelminthes; Trematoda; Strigeidida; Schistosomatidae. The record is from Rfam.